CAAUAGCGUAUAUUAAAGUUGUUGCAGUUAAAAAGCUCGUAGUUGGAUCUCGGGUUUAGGCUGGUGGUUCUGCUCAUGCAGAUACUGCUCGUCCUGACCUACCUGCCGGUUUUCCCUUGGUGCCCUUAACUGGGUGUCUCGGGUGGCCGGAACGUUUACUUUGAAAAAAUUAGAGUGUUCAAAGCAGGCAGUUCGCCUGAAUAAUGGUGCAUGGAAUAAUAGAAAAGGACCUCGGUUCUAUUUUGUUGGUUUUCGGAACUUGAGGUAAUGAUUAAGAGGGACAGACGGGGGCAUUCGUAUUACGGUGUUAGAGGUGAAAUUCUUGGAUCGCCGUAAGACGAACUACUGCGAAAGCAUUUGCCAAGAAUGUUUUCAUUAA
Molecule: ribosomal RNA, 379 nt
Filed under: uncultured eukaryote
Lineage: Eukaryota
Description: partial 18S ribosomal RNA
Rfam family: Eukaryotic small subunit ribosomal RNA
Source: RNAcentral